GUCUCGCAGACCCUCCAGCCCACAGAUUGAAACAAUACUACCAGGACAUGUAGAAUAAUAACAAUAUUUAUUCUGUAUUUUUGUCUUCUUAGAAUGGAUUGACCACUGAUUCAGAAGCAAAGAACUACUGAGAUAUGGCCCUGGCUUCUCACUCAGUUGGAUACGAUUUGUUUCUUGUUGAAGAAGAAACAGCAUGAAGCAUGAGAUAAAGCAGAGGCAUGAGAUGUCUAUGUGAAGACUGAACAAGUGACCAAAACCCCAAUGUCCUGAUGGCAGCAAGCUUUAUUUUUGCAGUCUGUGCCACAAAUGUAAACUACUAAUAGGUUAGGU
This 330-nucleotide long non-coding RNA is filed under the name Calidris pygmaea (Spoon-billed sandpiper). RNAcentral describes it as "lncRNA (ENSCPGG00000013912.1)". The record is from RNAcentral. Lineage: Eukaryota; Metazoa; Chordata; Aves; Charadriiformes; Scolopacidae.